RNAcentral lists this ribosomal RNA (761 nucleotides) under Rhodococcoides yunnanense. RNAcentral describes it as "bacterial SSU rRNA". It matches the Rfam family "Bacterial small subunit ribosomal RNA", at positions 80 to 854 of the family's 1533-position model. Lineage: Bacteria; Bacillati; Actinomycetota; Actinomycetes; Mycobacteriales; Nocardiaceae. The record is from RNAcentral.
UUUCGGGGUACACGAGCGGCGAACGGGUGAGUAACACGUGGGUGAUCUGCCUUGCACUCUGGGAUAAGCCUGGGAAACUGGGUCUAAUACCGGAUAUGACCUGUCCUCGCAUGGGGGUGGGUGGAAAGAUUUAUCGGUGUGAGAUGGGCCCGCGGCCUAUCAGCUUGUUGGUGGGGUAAUGGCCUACCAAGGCGACGACGGGUAGCCGACCUGAGAGGGUGACCGGCCACACUGGGACUGAGACACGGCCCAGACUCCUACGGGAGGCAGCAGUGGGGAAUAUUGCACAAUGGGCGGAAGCCUGAUGCAGCGACGCCGCGUGAGGGAUGAAGGCCUUCGGGUUGUAAACCUCUUUCAGCAGGGACGAAGCGUGAGUGACGGUACCUGCAGAAGAAGCACCGGCUAACUACGUGCCAGCAGCCGCGGUAAUACGUAGGGUGCGAGCGUUGUCCGGAAUUACUGGGCGUAAAGAGUUCGUAGGCGGUUUGUCGCGUCGUUUGUGAAAACCCGGGGCUCAACUUCGGGCUUGCAGGCGAUACGGGCAGACUUGAGUGUUUCAGGGGAGACUGGAAUUCCUGGUGUAGCGGUGAAAUGCGCAGAUAUCAGGAGGAACACCGGUGGCGAAGGCGGGUCUCUGGGAAACAACUGACGCUGAGGAACGAAAGCGUGGGUAGCAAACAGGAUUAGAUACCCUGGUAGUCCACGCCGUAAACGGUGGGCGCUAGGUGUGGGUUCCUUCCACGGGAUCUGUGCCGUAGCUA